RNAcentral lists this ribosomal RNA (251 nucleotides) under uncultured bacterium. RNAcentral describes it as "partial 16S ribosomal RNA". It matches the Rfam family "Bacterial small subunit ribosomal RNA", at positions 524 to 777 of the family's 1533-position model. The record is from RNAcentral.
UACAGAGGGUGCAAGCGUUGUUCGGAAUUAUUGGGCGUAAAGAGCUCGUAGGCGGUUUGUCGCGUCUGCCGUGAAAGUCCGGGGCUCAACUCCGGAUCUGCGGUGGGUACGGGCAGACUAGAGUGAUGUAGGGAGACUGGAAUUCCUGGUGUAGCGGUGGAAUGCGCAGAUAUCUGGAGGAACACCGGUGGCGAAGGCGGCGUUCUGGACUGCAACUGACACUGAAACGAAAGCCAGGGAGCAAAGCGGGA